CCUACGGGAGGCUGCAGUGGGGAAUAUUGCACAAUGGGGGAAACCCUGAUGCAGCGAUGCCGCGUGCGUGAAGAAGUAUCUCGGUACGUAAAGCUCUUUCAGCAGGAAAGAAAAUGACGGUACCUGACUACGAAGCCCCGGCGAAAUACGUGCCAGCAGCCGCGGUAAUACGGAGGGGGCAAGCGUUAUCCGGAUUUACUGGGUGUAAAGGGAGCGUAGACGGCGCUGCAAGUCCGGAGUGAAAGCGCAUGGCUUAACGAUGGAACUGCUCUGGAUACUGUAGAGCUUGAGUGCGGGAGGGGCAGGCGGAAUUCCUAGUGUAGCGGUGAAAUGCGUAGAGAUUAGGAGGAACACCGGCGGCGAAGGCGGCCUACUGGACCAUAACUGACGUUGAGGCUCGAAAGCGUGGGGAGCAAACAGGAUUAGAUACCCCUGUAGUC
This 440-nucleotide ribosomal RNA is filed under the name uncultured bacterium. RNAcentral describes it as "partial 16S ribosomal RNA". It matches the Rfam family "Bacterial small subunit ribosomal RNA", at positions 338 to 795 of the family's 1533-position model. The record is from RNAcentral.